RNAcentral lists this ribosomal RNA (314 nucleotides) under uncultured bacterium. RNAcentral's name for it is "bacterial SSU rRNA". It matches the Rfam family "Bacterial small subunit ribosomal RNA", at positions 28 to 334 of the family's 1533-position model. The record is from RNAcentral.
GAUGAACGCUGGCGGCGUGCCUAACACAUGCAAGUCGAGCGCGGUCCCUUUGGUGCUUGCACCAAAGACGACUGAGCGGCGGACGGGUGAGUAACGCGUGGGUAACCUGCCCUGUACAUAUGGAUAACAUGCUGAAAAGCAUACUAAUACAUAAUAACGUACAUUGAAGGCAUCUUCAGUGUAUCAAAGCGUUAGCGGUACAGGAUGGACCCGCGUCUGAUUAGCUAGUUGGUGGGGUAAAAGCCUACCAAGGCGACGAUCGGUAGCCGGACUGAGAGGUUGAACGGCCACAUUGGGACUGAGACACGGCCCAG